GGAGGCAUCCAGAAGACAACAAAAGUCCUGGAAGACCCAGCGAUUCUCUGCAACUCUCAAGGAAGCAUUCGAGAAUGGUGUAUAGAAUAGAAGUUUCUACAAGAAAAGGAAAGUGACUACACUAAAGAGCUUAUUCAUUAUCUACAUGUCAAAGCAGAAUUUAAGAUGGCAACAACCAGUGGACCAGCCAUGACAAUAAGCACUGGCCCCCAUGUGCUGGGGUUCCAAAGAAAUCAGGCAUCAGGCCUAAUAAGAAUCAGGUAACACAAGAACUUAUAGAAAAUAGAUUCUCAUGUCCUUUGACCUUCAAAUUCAAUGGAAGAAAAGAUCUUCACAGGGAAGGAUCAAGCUAUUUAAUAUUAUACACAGUUUGGGUGGCAAUAGAAACAAUAAAAAGACAUUCAAUAAAACUCAAUUCCACCUUUGAAGCAAAUGAUCUUACUUAAAAUUAAGUUAUUUCACGACCUAAAUAUGUAAGACAGAGAAUUAAAAAUAACAGGAGUAAAGGUAAUAAUAUAUUAAGAAGAGGAUCAUGGGAAUAAAGGACUCCAUUUUGUGAAAACUGACAUCCUUGAAGAAGAAAUCAAAAUAAAAUGAAGAUAAGCAGUACUAAAAAUCAUGAUUGACAAAAAAAAUUUCAUGAUAUAAAAAGGUUUUUGCAUUUUAACAUUAAUAUCAAUUGGGAAAAUAAGUAAGUCAAAAUAUUAUUUAGAUAUAGGCUGACAACUGUUUAGAUUUUAAAAGAAAAUGAAAAUAAUUUUACAUGCAUCUAACCUUAAGCAAAUGAAAAGCAUUACAGAUUUAGUAGGGAAAUUGUUGAUUUUUAGCUUUCUCUUGAAAAAUUCUGAACUCUCAAGGUAAUUGACUAAUUUUUUUAUUCCAGGGGUAUAAUUAAAUAUAAAGUGAAAGUCUUAUUUCUAUAGUAAUGUGACUGCAGAUAAUCUCAAAGAGCUGAGGAUCCAUGAAUUACAUUGCUUCUAUUUCUUGACUGAAACUUUUCUGAAGACAUAUUUUAUAAAUUAGAAGAAGAAUAAAAAUAGACAACUCAAAUCAGGAGACUUUUUUUCUGACACUGAUAUUCAAUUAAACAGAAAU
Non-coding RNA from Ictidomys tridecemlineatus (thirteen-lined ground squirrel), 1095 nucleotides. NCBI's taxonomy places the organism in Eukaryota, Metazoa, Chordata, Mammalia, Rodentia, Sciuridae. The record is from RefSeq and is a predicted model, not a curated record.